UACUGUAGCCAUAAUAAUUAAUUUUUAAUAAAUUUUAAAUAAUAUAAUAUAUUUAUUUUACAUUGUCUUUUUUUAAAAAAUCAUGAUUUUAAGUCAUUACACAGUGUACAAUUUUUUAUUAUUACUAUUGUUAUAUUUUUUUGUAACAGUAAAUUCGGAAUUAAGUAAUCGUCUUCCAAAUAAUACUAUUCCGCGAUUGUAUAAAAUUGAGUUUAAUCCAAAUUUGUUUAGCGAAAAAUUUUCAUUUACGGGGAGGAGUUCAAUUUAUUUUGAAGUUAUCCAACAUACAAAUUCAUUAAUUUUACAUAAAUCAAAAAAUUUAUUUAUUGAUAAUGAAUAUACUGAAAUAUCUAACGAAGUUGGAAAGAUCUAUAAAGUAGUUCACCAAUCAUGGAAUUCUAAGCGAGAACUUAUCACGAUUAAAUGUAGUGACGCACUAGAAAUUGGAAAUUAUACUCUCAAAUUGCAGUGGAAUGGUUAUGGUAAUGAUAUCAACUUCAGCGGAAUGUAUCGAGCUGUCGAUCAAGAUGAUAAAAAUAACUCCAAGUAUCUCGUGGUAACGAAUUUACGGCCGACAUUUGCUAGAACUGUAUUUCCAUGCUGGGAUGAGCCUGGAUUUAAAGCUAAUUAUGAAAUUUCAAUUAUUCAUCAUAAGAAUUAUACCGCACUCUCCAAUAUGCCGAAAAUAACUAGUGAACUUCUGAGCAAUGACAAGGUUAAAACUUAUUUUGAUAAAUCGAUGCCAAUUUCAUCGUAUCAAGUUUCCAUUGUAGUUGCUGACUAUAAAUUUAUUUCAAACAAAUAUGGAAAUGUUACAUUUUACGCUCCUAAAGGAGAUUUGAAUUUAGUUGAACAUGCUCUAAGUUCAACGGAAUUAAUGUUGCCAAUUCUCGAACGUUACACUGGUAUUCCAUACGUCCUACCGAAAUUGGACUCGGUCACCAUUCCACAAUUUUUGAAACCAUCUAUAGCAGUAGAAAGUUGGGGACUCAUAACUUACAAAUCGCAAAAAGUUAAAUUGAUAAGUAAAAAUUCAACUAUGAUAACUUAUCCUACAAAAAUGACUAUCUUGAAAAAUAUUGCUAAUGAAGUAGUUCAGCAAUGGUUCGGAAAUUUAGUGACUCCAUUUUGGUGGAAUGAUUUAUGGAUAUGCAAGGGAAUUUCAUUGUAUUUGCAGUACAAGUUUAUCAAUGAGCUGUAUCCAGAAUUAGCAGCUAUCGAUUUUGAAACAAUCGAUACUUAUCAAUUUUUAUUUUUAACCGAACCUAUGAUUGGUAAUGUUCUACUGCCAAUGGGAUCCAUGCCUGACAAUACUUUGUCGAUAAAGCAGAAAUUUAGUAUAGUUUACCAUAUGAAAAGUUUCGUAAUUAUUCAAAUGUUAGAACAUAUCGUUACCCAAGAAGUUUUUCAAGCUGGCCUACAACAGUUUCUUAAAAAUAACAAAUUUCGUGGCGUUACAUCAAACGAUUUGUGGAGGAGCCUUCAAGAAGCUUACAACAAAAAAUUUAUUAACAAUUCUCUGAAUAUUAAAAAUAUUAUGGAACCGUGGAUUAAUCAGCGGGGUUUCCCUAUUCUCAAUGUAACAAGAGAUUAUAAUACAGGAUUAGUGACAAUUACUCAGUCUAAUGUAUUGGCGAAUCGCAAAAACAUUACUUGGAGUAUUCCAAUUAAUUAUGCAACGCAAUCAAAUCCUGAUUUUUCAUCAACAGUACCGGUCACUUGGAUCAAACAAAAUAAAAAAUCUAUAACAUUAUCUGGAGUAAAUCCUGAUGACUGGAUAAUUCUUAAUGUCCAACAAAGAGGAUACUACAAAGUUCAUUAUGACGUAGAAAAUUUAAAACGCAUUAUAAAUUACCUGCACUCGGAUAAUUACAACAAAAUACAUCCUAUUAAUCGUGCAAGAAUUAUUGAUGAUGUCUAUGAAUCAUUCACACAUAAUUACGAUUACUAUAAACUGGCAAUCGAUCUUAUUGGAUAUCUCAGCCAUGAAAAAAAUUACGUUGCUUGGUUUUCUGGUGUCGAUCUUAUUAAUCGAAUUAUAAAAGUAACGAGUAUAAGUGGUAAUAAUUUGUUCAAAAAUUACAUAAAUAUCAUUACCAAAAAUAUAAUAGAUGAUAUCGGAAUGACAGAACAUGAAAAUGAUUCAAAAUUAGUUAUACGAUUAAGACGUUCUCUAUUAUCGAUUAUUUGUCGAUUUGAUAAUGAAAAAUGCAAACCUACCGCUUAUUAUUUAUAUAAAUCAUUAAUUAAUGGAACCUCUGAAAUAACAAAUCUAAAACCCAUAUAUCCAUGGGUUUUGUGUAAUGUAUUUCAAGAUUUUAAUUCUACUGAAUGGGAUAAUAUAUUUUCUCAUAAAUUAAUCAAAUUUACAAAUAGUUCAAGUUAUAAUUUUGAGUAUUUACACUGCGUGAAGUCUGAUAAAAUCAUUGAAAAAUAUUUUAAUAAAAUUAUUAGUAAUACGACAAACGAAAAUAUUAACGAUCUAGUUACGAUUUUUGAUAAUAUUAUUCAUGAUCCUCAACAAAACAACACAAACUUUUUAUUGGAUUACUUUAUCAGAAAUUUUAAGGCUCUAGAGAAUAAAUUUUUGUCAAUCGGUAAUAAAAAUGCAAUUCCACAUGUAAUCAAACAGUUCACUGAAUAUCUAGAAGAUCAGAAUCAAUGGGAAAAGUUUAUAAGAUUCAUCCAGUCUCGAGCUCUUGAAUUAAAUAAUAAUUAUCAAGUUUAUAAAAAGAACGUCCUGGAAGUAAUUUCUUCAUACGUGUAUAAAAAAGAUUAUGAGUACGAUUACUUCGAAUCUAUUUAUGACAACAGAUUGGAAACGUUAAAAAUGCAAUACUGAUAAAUAUCUAUUACCUAAUUUAUCAUUAUAUUUUUUUUUAUCAUUUGGGCAAACUACAAUCAAUUUUACACCAAAACUAUUUUCAUUAUAUUAAAAUAAAUCAAAUUAAUAAUAAACAUAAAAAUUUGUGAAUCAAAAAUAAAACUA
Molecule: long non-coding RNA, 2989 nt
Organism: Microplitis demolitor
Lineage: Eukaryota; Metazoa; Arthropoda; Insecta; Hymenoptera; Braconidae
Product: leucyl-cystinyl aminopeptidase
Exons: 9
Source: RefSeq, a predicted model, not a curated record